This 63-nucleotide transfer RNA is filed under the name Trioza urticae. RNAcentral describes it as "tRNA-Leu". Lineage: Eukaryota; Metazoa; Arthropoda; Insecta; Hemiptera; Triozidae. The record is from RNAcentral.
AUCUAAUGUGACAGAUUAAUGUAUUAAAUUUAAAAUUUAAGUAUGAAUAGAAUUUCCUUUAGA